Molecule: ribosomal RNA, 501 nt
Filed under: uncultured bacterium
Lineage: Bacteria
Description: bacterial SSU rRNA
Rfam family: Bacterial small subunit ribosomal RNA
Source: RNAcentral
CAACAGCUAGAGUUUGAUCCUGGCUCAGGAUAAACGCUGGCGGCGCACAUAAGACAUGCAAGUCGAACGGACUUAACCAUUAGUUUACUAUUGGAGCGGUUAGUGGCGGACUGGUGAGUAACACGUAAGCAACCUGCCUAUCAGAGGGGAACAACAGUUAGAAAUGACUGCUAAUACCGCAUAUGCCUUAACCUUCGCAUGAAGGAAGAGGGAAAGGAGCAAUCCGCUGAUAGAUGGGCUUGCGUCUGAUUAGAUAGUUGGUGGGGUAACGGCCUACCAAGUCAACGAUCAGUAGCCGGACUGAGAGGUUGAACGGCCACAUUGGGACUGAGAUACGGCCCAGACUCCUACGGGAGGCAGCAGUCGGGAAUAUUGCGCAAUGGAGGAAACUCUGACGCAGUGACGCCGCGUGCAGGAAGAAGGUUUUCGGAUUGUAAACUGCUUUAGACAGGGAAGAAACAAGACAGUACCUGUAGAAUAAGCUCCGGCUAACUACGUGCC